RNAcentral lists this transfer RNA (83 nucleotides) under Schistocephalus solidus. It matches the Rfam family "tRNA". From Rfam's summary of the family: Transfer RNA (tRNA) molecules are approximately 80 nucleotides in length. Their secondary structure includes four short double-helical elements and three loops (D, anti-codon, and T loops). Lineage: Eukaryota; Metazoa; Platyhelminthes; Cestoda; Diphyllobothriidea; Diphyllobothriidae. The record is from Rfam by way of RNAcentral.
GGCCUCGUAGUUCAGUUGGCUAGAGCAUUGGUUGCACUAAAGCCUUCUCCCUGCUGGCGUGGGUUCGAAUCCCACUGAGGCCG